GUAGCAAAAGUCCCUUUCUCUCUGCGUACAGGAGAUCUAGAACAAAACUUCACAGCAGGAUGUUGAAUCUUUGAAUACGUUCACUGUCCCACCACAUGUGAACAUAGGAUCCGAGGACCCCACAUCCUCUCCAGCACAAUGGUAAAAGUCCGGGUGUCCACAAAUUGGUAUCAAUGGGGAUAUCCCUGGCAUCAAUUAUUCCUUUCUAUAUUUCCAG
Molecule: long non-coding RNA, 217 nt
Organism: Rhineura floridana
Lineage: Eukaryota; Metazoa; Chordata; Lepidosauria; Squamata; Rhineuridae
Exons: 3
Source: RefSeq, a predicted model, not a curated record